GACGAACGCUGGCGGCGUGCUUAACACAUGCAAGUCGAACGGAAAGGCCCUGCUUGCAGGGUACUCGAGUGGCGAACGGGUGAGUAACACGUGGGUGAUCUGCCCUGCACUUCGGGAUAAGCCUGGGAAACUGGGUCUAAUACCGGAUAGGAGCCAUUUUUAGUGUGAUGGUUGGAAAGUUUUUUCGGUGUAGGAUGAGCUCGCGGCCUAUCAGCUAGUUGGUGGGGUAAUGGCCUACCAAGGCGGCGACGGGUAGCCGGCCUGAGAGGGUGGACGGCCACAUUGGGACUGAGAUACGGCCCAGACUCCUACGGGAGGCAGCAGUGGGGAAUAUUGCACAAUGGGCGCAAGCCUGAUGCAGCGACGCCGCGUGGGGGAUGACGGCCUUCGGGUUGUAAACUCCUUUCGCUAGGGACGAAGCUUUUUGUGACGGUACCUAGAUAAGAAGCACCGGCUAACUACGU
Molecule: ribosomal RNA, 464 nt
Filed under: uncultured bacterium
Lineage: Bacteria
Description: partial 16S ribosomal RNA
Rfam family: Bacterial small subunit ribosomal RNA
Source: RNAcentral